UUAAAUUGAAGAGUUUGAUCAUGGCUCAGAUUGAACGCUGGCGGCAGGCCUAACACAUGCAAGUCGAGCGGCAGCGGGGGGAAGCUUGCUUCCCCGCCGGCGAGCGGCGGACGGGUGAGUAAUGUCUGGGGAUCUGCCUGAUGGAGGGGGAUAACUACUGGAAACGGUAGCUAAUACCGCAUAACGUCGCAAGACCAAAGUGGGGGACCUUCGGGCCUCACGCCAUCGGAUGAACCCAGAUGGGAUUAGCUAGUAGGUGAGGUAACGGCUCACCUAGGCGACGAUCCCUAGCUGGUCUGAGAGGAUGACCAGCCACACUGGAACUGAGACACGGUCCAGACUCCUACGGGAGGCAGCAGUGGGGAAUAUUGCACAAUGGGGG
Molecule: ribosomal RNA, 382 nt
Filed under: Dickeya dadantii
Lineage: Bacteria; Pseudomonadati; Pseudomonadota; Gammaproteobacteria; Enterobacterales; Pectobacteriaceae
Description: bacterial SSU rRNA
Rfam family: Bacterial small subunit ribosomal RNA
Source: RNAcentral